Molecule: long non-coding RNA, 1020 nt
Organism: Danaus plexippus (monarch butterfly)
Lineage: Eukaryota; Metazoa; Arthropoda; Insecta; Lepidoptera; Nymphalidae
Exons: 3
Source: RefSeq, a predicted model, not a curated record
AGAGUCAUGGAGCAAGUUUUAUGGGCAUCUUAGGAGGUGAACCACUUAGGAAUUUGAUAUAAUCAGUUGAAUUAAUAAAUCUCGCUUUUUUCGCUGUAUAUAAUAUCUAUUAUCACUAUUGUAGAUAAUUAAGUUUUCUCCAACUUUUUUUUUUAUUAUAGUUUGAAUCAUUUUAAGAUAGAGCUGUUAAAGGAUAAUCUAAUCUAAUACUAAAGUCAAUCGGUAUAUUCUGGUGGAAAAGAUGCAAACUAAGUUAUAAAGUUUUGACAAAUGAAUUAAUUAUCAAUAAUAUUCUUUGAUAUCAAAUAUUACAUUAUACAUACUUUUAUACUGUCGUAUCAUCGUCGUCAAACUGUUAUUUCAAGUCUUCUCUGUCAACUUGACCGACAUUUAUCUCCAUGUCUUAUAAUAUCGGGGUCAAAGUUUCUGCUUUCAUUUGCAUCUGGUAAAGAUUUGAGAUGAGUUUGCUCUCUAAUAACUCUGGUCACAAGCCGAAAAAAAAACAAAACCCCGAUUUCCUGCACUCACAGCUUGAACUAUAACACCCAUCUUGCAGGUUUAAAAAAAUUGUGAUGAGAAAUUAAAGUAGUCGUGGUAGUUUCCAGGACACUGUUACAAAUUGUCCAACCGUUCUGCAGAGGUUGCAAAUUAUACCUAAACCAAUUUUGAACUCCAUAAUAAGCACGAUUUUCAGAAUCAUUGUUUUAUUUUUUUCAAAACAAGAGAAGACAUGUGAGACAGCCACUAAAUCUAUUCAGAAACAAAAAAUGUUUCUUUGCAAACACCUACCUAUUGAAGCUUUUGGAAGAGUAGGUUUCAGUUUAUUGAUUGCCGUUUCUAUAAUUAGUAAAUCCGCAUCAUCUCUUACUUGUUCGUAAGUAAUAUUGAUGGGUUGUAAUUUUGAAUUAGUAUAUUAGUGACCUUUUUUGUAGAAACAAAAAAAUUGUGACCUUUGCCUUCAAAUGUUCACGCGGGGGCGAGUUACCAUGUUGUUUGUAAGUUUUGAGAAAACGUUUAAAA